Pelobates cultripes (western spadefoot toad) is the source of this 468-nucleotide non-coding RNA. The record is from the annotation of a GenBank genome assembly. NCBI's taxonomy places the organism in Eukaryota, Metazoa, Chordata, Amphibia, Anura, Pelobatidae.
AUUCCUUAUAAUAUUUUGUAAUUCUUUAUUUUUGAAGUGCAACAAGGAUAUCACAAGGAUAUCACCAAAACAUCUUCUUGUCCCUUUAACACCAAAUAAUCUUCUGUUCACAUAUCCAGCAAUUAACAUAAACAGCUGCCCAAUAUAAUCAACUUCUCCAUUUUAUACAAAAUGCAGAAGGGAACUUGCGCACUUACAAAUUUUGAACACAGCUGCUCCUUACACUCCAUUAAGCAAAAACAGAUAUCUUCCAUGUUCUCCCUCCUACAAAACACCCAGCCACAACCAGAAAGGGAAUUCUUCUUUUCCCUACCAUAUAGAGCUGGAAAAAAACAUUUGGGCUUAUCCAUAAAUCAUCUCUGAACCUUGCUGUGCAGGAGGCCAACUACAAGACAGUCAGAUGGCACAACACACCUGCCAAACUACAGACACUAUUCUCUCUCUCUUCCAACCAAUGUUGGAGAUGCC